This 322-nucleotide ribosomal RNA is filed under the name uncultured eukaryote. RNAcentral describes it as "partial 18S ribosomal RNA". It matches the Rfam family "Eukaryotic small subunit ribosomal RNA", at positions 1470 to 1796 of the family's 1831-position model. The record is from RNAcentral.
CCCUUAGACGUUCUGGGCCGCACGCGUGCUACACUGAGUGGAUCAGCGGGUCAGGUUGCGCGAAAGUGUUUCCUAAUCUUGAAAUCCGCUCGUGAUGGGGAUUGACGGUUGCAAUUUUCCGUCAUGAACGAGGAAUACCUUGUAAGCGCGGGUCAUCAUCCCGCGCUGAAUACGUCCCUGCCCUUUGUACACACCGCCCGUCGCUCCUACCGAUUGAGUGGUCCGGUGAGGCUUUGGGAUCUGAGCAAAAAGAGCGUUUCGCUCGUUUGGCUCGGAAAACUCAGUCGAACCUUAUCAUUUAGAGGAAGGAGAAGUCGUAACA